RNAcentral lists this small RNA (910 nucleotides) under uncultured Mortierella. Its description in RNAcentral is "eukaryotic LSU rRNA". The stretch from base 626 to 910 matches the Rfam family "Eukaryotic large subunit ribosomal RNA", at positions 1 to 281 of the family's 3401-position model. The record is from RNAcentral. Lineage: Eukaryota; Fungi; Mortierellomycota; Mortierellomycetes; Mortierellales; Mortierellaceae.
CUUGGUCAUUUAGAGGAAGUAAAAGUCGUAACAAGGUUUCCGUAGGUGAACCUGCGGAAGGAUCAUUCACAAACGAGUGUUUUAUGGCACUCUUUAAAAAUCCAUAUCCACCUUGUGUGCAAUGUUUGUUGGGAAAGUCUUUCCUUUCCCUUCAUAAAUAUCAACCUAUAUCUUUAACAACAUUCGUCUGAUAACAUAUUAUGAAUAUACUUAAUUCAAAAUAUAACUUUCAACAACGGAUCUCUUGGCUCUCGCAUCGAUGAAGAACGCAGCGAAAUGCGAUACGUAAUGUGAAUUGCAGAAUUCAGUGAAUCAUCGAAUCUUUGAACGCAUAUUGCGCUCUUUGGUAUUCCGAAGAGCAUGCUUGUUUGAGUAUCAGUAAACACCUCAACCUCUCUUUUUUGAUAAAAAAAAGGGAGGGUGGACUUGAGCUAUCCCAACGACCUUCACCGGUAGGCGGGCGGCUUGAAAUGCAGGUGCAGCUGGACUUUUAUCUGAGCUAAAAGCAUAUCUAUUUAGUCCUCGUCAAACAGGAUUAUUACUUUUGCUGCAGCUAACAUAAAGGAUAAUUGUCCUCUUUGCUGACUGAUGCAGGAUUUUACGACACUUUAUGUGUUGUUCAACUCGAUCUCAAAUCAAGUAAGACUACCCGCUGAACUUAAGCAUAUCAAUAAGCGGAGGAAAAGAAACUAACAAGGAUUCCCCUAGUAACGGCGAGUGAAGCGGGAUGAGCUCAAAUUUGAAAUCUGGCUGGUUUACUAGUCCGAGUUGUAAUUUAAAGAAGCGUUUUCGGUGGCAGCCUGGGUAUAAAUCCUUUGGAAUAGGGUAUCAUAGAGGGUGAGAAUCCCGUCUUUGACCUAGUGCAUGCUACUAUGUGAUACGUUUUCAAAGAGUCGAGUUGUUUGGGAAU